CCUACGGGCGGCAGCAGUGGGGAAUAUUGGACAACGGGCGAAAGCCUGAUCCAGCCAUGCCGCGUGUGUGAAGAAGGCCUUCGGGUUGUAAAGCACUUUCAGUGGGGAAGAAAGCCUUGGGGCUAAUACCCUCGAGGAAGGACAUCACCCACAGAAGAAGCACCGGCUAACUCCGUGCCAGCAGCCGCGGUAAUACGGAGGGUGCGAGCGUUAAUCGGAAUUACUGGGCGUAAAGCGCGCGUAGGCGGUCUGAUAAGCCGGUUGUGAAAGCCCCGGGCUCAACCUGGGAACGGCAUCCGGAACUGUCAGGCUAGAGUGCAGGAGAGGAAGGUAGAAUUCCCGGUGUAGCGGUGAAAUGCGUAGAGAUCGGGAGGAAUACCAGUGGCGAAGGCGGCCUUCUGGACUGACACUGACGCUGAGGUGCGAAAGCGUGGGUAGCAAACAGGAUUAGAUACCCGAGUAGUC
This 465-nucleotide ribosomal RNA is filed under the name Vreelandella stevensii. Its description in RNAcentral is "partial 16S ribosomal RNA". It matches the Rfam family "Bacterial small subunit ribosomal RNA", at positions 338 to 795 of the family's 1533-position model. Lineage: Bacteria; Pseudomonadati; Pseudomonadota; Gammaproteobacteria; Oceanospirillales; Halomonadaceae. The record is from RNAcentral.